This is a long non-coding RNA of Gadus macrocephalus (Pacific cod), 915 nucleotides long. RefSeq lists it as uncharacterized. The record is from RefSeq and is a predicted model, not a curated record. NCBI's taxonomy places the organism in Eukaryota, Metazoa, Chordata, Actinopteri, Gadiformes, Gadidae. The transcript is spliced from 4 exons.
GGCUGAACAAUCCGGACAUCGUGGCCACCGACGUGGACCCCCGCCACCGGGACCCACGCAAUCGCGCCCUUUAGACACGCCCCUUGGAAAUUGAACAACGCACUUCAACGCAGAGGAUCCAGAAGGAUUUCACAACGAGUCCAUUGGAAGAUAUCGAGGAACAUGAACAUCACCAAUGAAGGAGAGUAACGUUUCCACUUGCUAUAGGAAUUUAGUGAAGCAAUAAAUAGUUAAUAAUAAUAAUGAUAAAAUGUGGUCACCAUUUAUUGACUUUUUGGGUAAGACUUGCUUUACUAAUAUAACCGCGUUAAAACCGCAUUCAUUUACUUUUCUUGUGUAGUUUCCCACUAUUCAUUAAAUGUUUUAUAGAAGUAAAAAAAGUAAUCAAUAGAACUAUACACAUUUGUACAACAAUUAAUCAUUAUACAGGAUUUGAACAUUUUCUAUUCUAACUCAUUCUUCAUAAUAUUUCCAAGGAUUGCAGAGUACCAAAUGAUUUAUGAACAGUUGUUUUUGUUCAGGAGCGGAUUGUACUCCCAGAGGCUUCAACAGAGCGGGUCUGGAGCUGGGAGCUGCAGGUGGAUGUUGGCCAGGAGCCGUUCAGUCCUACAGGAACAGACGGUAGAGGUGAUGGAGGCGGUCGUCUGGAGGUGCUCGUCUGGAGGUCCGUGGCGGUCGUCUGGAGGUGCUCGCCGUGAGGUCCAUGGCGGUCGUCUGGAGGCGCUCGCUGCAGGUGGAGGGAAGGCCGGGAGCCGUGCAGCCCAACGGAUGCAGAACGAAUGACUGAGGCGGAGGUCCUGGAGGCAGAGGCCAGCCUGGAGGCGGCGGUGGCCUGGAGGUCCUGGAGGCGUCCAACCUGGAAGGGGCAGCAUGGAGGGCCAGGUGGCGGCUCCUCAUCCAGUAAAGUUAAACUCC